GUCGAGUGACCCUUACUAGUCCUUAAACCUCAAGUAGAGUAGCUACCCUUGUUGCUCUUGUUGAAUCCCAAGCCGACUCCCGACAUGGGACUCGAGGACGAACGAAAGAUGCUCGCUGGAUCCGGAGACCCCAAAGCGGAAGAAGAGGAGGAAGAAUUAGUGGACCCCCUAACAACAGUGAGAGAGCACUGUGAGCAGUUGGAGAAGUGUGUAAAGGCUCGGGAACGACUAGAGUUGUGUGAUAAGCGCGUGUCUUCCCGAACACAGACAGAAGAGGAUUGUACAGAGGAGCUCUUUGACUUCUUGCAUGCUCGGGACCACUGUGUGGCCCACAAACUCUUUAAAAACUUGAAGUAAAUGUACAGAUUCAUUUGCCUUGUCACUGGGAAUCAAGAACAGUUCCUUGUUGUGGUUUUGAACAAUUGUUUCUAAUGUAGUAAGUUCUUGAAAACAUAAUUGAUUUUUGGCGGGUAGCUUCUCUUCUGUGUAAUUAGCAGUGAUUCCAUCUUAAUAAACUGGUCUGCAAACUUAAAA
Mastomys coucha (southern multimammate mouse) is the source of this 534-nucleotide RNA transcript. It is a transcript of the gene named cytochrome b-c1 complex subunit 6, mitochondrial pseudogene, with no coding region annotated. NCBI's taxonomy places the organism in Eukaryota, Metazoa, Chordata, Mammalia, Rodentia, Muridae. The record is from RefSeq and is a predicted model, not a curated record. The transcript has a single exon.